RNAcentral lists this long non-coding RNA (989 nucleotides) under Gallus gallus (chicken). Its description in RNAcentral is "lncRNA (ENSGALG00010010162.1)". The record is from RNAcentral. Lineage: Eukaryota; Metazoa; Chordata; Aves; Galliformes; Phasianidae.
AACCAAUGGACGCGUCGCCGAACGUCACGUUGUUCAUACAGCCCUAUGGGGGGGGGGGGGAGAAUGGGGUCACGUGGUACUAUAACGGGUGUGGGGUCACGUGGUACUAUAAGGGGUAUGGGGUCAUACAGCCCUAUGGGGGUAUGGGGUCACGUGGUACUAUAACGGGUAUGGGGUCAUACAGCCCUAUGGGGGAAUGGGGUCACACAGCCCUAUGGGGGGAAUGGGGUCACGUGGUACUAUAACGGGUAUGGGGUCACACAGCCCUAUGGGGGAAUGGGGUCACACAGCCCUAUAAGAGGUAUGGGGACAGACAGCCCUAUAGGGGUAUGGGGUCAUGUGGUACUAUAACGGGUAUGGGGUCAUACAGCCCUAUGGGGGCAAUGGGGUCACACAGCCCUAUGAGGGCAAUGGGGUCAGACAGCCCUAUGGGGCAAUAGGGUCAGACAGCCCUAUAACGGCUAUGGGUGGUAUGGGGUCACACAGCCCUGUGGGGGUAUGGGGUCAGAUGGCCCUAUGGGGGAAUGGGGUCACGUGGUACUAUAAGGGGUAUGGGGUCACACGCUCGCUAUCUGGCAGUGCCGGGGAAUGGUAUGGAUCCCUAUAGGAUUCUUGCUGGUUCACUUUGUGGCAAUACCUGGAUCUGUAUGGCUCCCUAUGGGGUUUCCAAACGGAUCACUUUGUGGCAAUACCAGGAUGGCUCUGGCUCCCUAAGGGAUUCCCAGUGGCUCCCUUUGUGGCAGUACCUGAAUCUCUCUGGGUCCCUAUGAGGUUCCCAACGGCUCCCUUUGUGGCAGUACCUCAUGUCUGUAUGGCUCCCUAUAUGACUCACCACAGCUCCCUUUGUGGCAGUACCUGGGGUCUAUAUGACUCCCUAUGGGACUCCCCAUAGCUCCCUUUGUGGCAGUACCUGAAUCUCUCUGGCUCCCUAUGGGGCUCCCCACGGCUCCCUUUGUGGCAGUACCAGGAUGGCUCUGGCUCCCUAUGGG